UGUGUGGGAGGGGAGGUGCGGUGGAGACAGUAGAGGGAGACGGAGAAGGGGAUGCAAUUUCGAGGGGUGGAUUGCACAUGGCUGUGGACAAUAAAGGGAUGAGGGGUUUGAGAUGGGAUGCGAAGCGAAGCAGGUUGACAGAAGAGAGUGAGCACCCGCCGGAGGUAAAUGGCAUGACAGGGUGCUGUUUCCGUUGCGUGCUCAAAUCUCUUGUUGUCAACCUUUCGCUGUUAUUUCUUCUGUGAUCAUACUUGGAAAUACGCUCCCCUCCCCACCCGAGAAGAGAGAGAGGGAGAAAGAGAGUCAUUGAACCUGUCUCACCCACCCCCCGAGGCUGUCUUUUACUUGUGUGUUUCGGCUGCCGCGUUGCGAUGUUUUUGCUUUGCUUCGCCGUCUGUCUUAUCGUAUCUGCCAAUCAGCUCGUCGGAUUUGUGUGGGUGAAGAAGCGCGUGCUUAAUUGCCUCUCUGGUUUUCUCUCUCUCUCUUUUCAUUAAUGCUUAUAUUGCUCUAGAAAUUGGGAAAUUGUAAGAAUAAGCGUGUCUGUUGAAAAGGGAGGUAAGAGAGAGAGAGACAGAGAGAGAGAGAGAAAGAGAGAGGGAGGGAAGAGGGAGUAGUAUUGUCCGUCUCUGUCCUGUUAGUAAUGAAGCCUCUGAGAGAGAGAGAGAGAAUAGAAAGAGUACAGUACUACACAUUGAAGCACGCGGUGCCGCCUCAUCGGAAGGCACUGUUUGACCAAUUCUACUCUCCUUCUCGGUGUUCUCCUAUCUUUUCUGUCGUCCUUCUUGCUUUUGCUUUCCGCUCCUCUACUUUUCUCUUGCCUGUUGCGGAUAGGGUUUGGAGCGUUUCAACAAAACAUGGAUUCAAGCUGUGAGGAUCCGUGGAGUGAAGGUGCUCCCCGAGGUUCAUGCCCACCAUCGUCCAUUCCUGGCCAUCUAACUGUGUUUUCUUUCGUUUGCGCUCGAGACCAUUUCCUCACCCCCUUGAUGGGCUGUUGCUUUGCCAACUUGAACAAAGACUCGCUGCUCCGACGAGCGGAAAGGGGUGAGCUUUGUUGCCCUUCCCCAUGCCUGAUCGAUUCAUCUCUACUAGCUUUUGUGGAAAGAAGCCAAUGAAUCAUCGCUGGUAUCUCUCUGGUGCACUCAAUCUCUCCAUCUAGCUUCUGUUGUUUUUAUCUUUGCUAGGUUGGUGGUGGUGGUCACUUGCCCCUUCGUUGCCGUGGUUUAUAUGCCGCAUCCGUCAUUCGCCCUUCCUCCUCCCACCUCUCCCUCUCUUCAAUCUGGCACGACAUGCCAAAAAGGAAAAAGGGAACAUACCAUAGAGGGUCUUGUGCAUCUGUUGUUUUCCCCCGCUCCACAAGUUGUUCAGAAGAUGGUACUUCCGAUCGUGGUCCACCGUUCAUCAUACACCACUCAUGUGCUUCACCAUUGUUUGUCGAAUGAUUUCUUAGAAAACGAUCGAUCAUUGAAGAAGAUGAAGUAUUUUUAUCCAAAUUCUCCCUCUAAACAUAGAGAGGGUAUUUUCAUAAUUUUGAAUCAUGAUUUUUCAUGUUACAGAAAGAGGAAUCUUAUCAUUGUACAUACAAAGCCUGCCCUUACCAAUUUAGUAUAAUGAACCCACUGCAACAAAUAAUACUUUUAGCAGCGGUUUUUAUUUAUA
Molecule: long non-coding RNA, 1656 nt
Organism: Musa acuminata AAA Group (dessert banana)
Lineage: Eukaryota; Viridiplantae; Streptophyta; Magnoliopsida; Zingiberales; Musaceae
Exons: 2
Source: RefSeq, a predicted model, not a curated record